RNAcentral lists this unclassified non-coding RNA (910 nucleotides) under Hevea brasiliensis (rubber tree). The record is from RNAcentral. Lineage: Eukaryota; Viridiplantae; Streptophyta; Magnoliopsida; Malpighiales; Euphorbiaceae.
GGAAAAUAUAUAAAAAUAUAUAUUUAUAAAGGAGGAAACACAAAAUGAUAGGAAACUGAAAUUUUUCUCAUAGAACUUGCAAACAAGAUCUAUAGACAAAAACAUAAUCAUCGAUCAAAAAUGAUCUACAUCAUCAUUCAAGGAACAACACUAACAGAGCACCCUACAGGAAUCAUAAAACCAACACAACUCACAAGCAAACAACAAAGCCAGAACUACUACUUCCUAAUUCCUCCAGUUCCCGUCAGAUGCACCACCACCCCUUGAGUAACGAGAUCCACCAUCACCAUAUCCACGGUCCCGACCCCCACCGUAACCACCACCGCCAUAUCCACCACCUCCGCGGUUGUAACCACCACCGUAUCCACCUUCACGUCGUCCGCCACCACCACCAUAGCCGCCACCGCUGCCGCCACGGCUGUAUCCACCGCCACCACCUCCGCUUCCGCGGGAUUGAGCUUCGUUAACGGUAAUGUUACGGCCGUCGAGAUUCUGACCGUUCAUUCCUUCAAUAGCAUCUCUCAUCGACUUCUCGUUGUUGAAGGUCACGAAUCCAAACCCGCGAGAUCUGCCAGUCUCUCUAUCAUUGAUGAUCGAUUUGAGGUUAGUAACAUAAAAGAACAGUAACACAGAUUAUAGUAACACAAACAGAUCACAGAUUUUGGAUCGACAAAGCCGAACGGGGUCGGUCAGAUCCGAUCUCUGCGACUACGCAAACCGACCUUCGAUUCAAGGAUCUCGCCAAAGGGACUAAAGGCCUCCUGGAGGGCUUGGUCGUUUGUGGCCCAGGCAAGGCCGCCGACAAAGCACCUGUACUCUAUCUCUGUAGACGCCAUAGGGUUUAGAAAAAGGAUUGAAAAAGAAACCCUCAAGAGGAAACUAGGGUUAUAGCAAAGUAAAGGAUGAGAUC